UUUUUUUGCAGGUGUGUCAAUUUUAAUUCUGCCCAGUAGGUGGGACUUGGUGACUUUCGCACCGGGGUUGGUUUUUUUCUUUUUUUUUUUGUUAUUUAUUUAUUUCCCCGGGCUGCCUCCCCAGCCUCCCGUUGCAAUCCUCCGGAGCGGCGGGCGGCGGGCGGCCGGGCCAGCAUGUAUCCCCGCCCGCUGCCGCUGCCGCUACCGUAGCGGGAAUCACAGCCUCUCCCAGCCGGCUGCCAGCAUGAUUUCAUCUGCUGGAGGAUUUUUACAUCUGAUCGCUUGAGGUUUUGUUGUUUUUUUGGGUUUUUUUUUGUGGUGGUUGUUUUUUUUUUUCGCUUUUUCUUUUUUUUUUUUCCUCCCUCUGUCUUUGUUUCCCCUUUUCCCCCCCUUCCCCUCCCUCCAUCCCCCCCCCUUUCCUCCUCCUCUUUUUUAGAAGCAGCGAUCGGAGAUGGAUGUCUCUCUUUGCCCUACCAAGUGCACUUUCUGGAGGGUAUUUUUGCUCUGGAGCAUUUGGGGAGACUAUCUGCUUUCGGUGCUGGCUUGCCCUGCUAAUUGUCUUUGCAGCAAGACAGACAUCAAUUGCAAGAAACCGGAUGAUGGGAACCUCUUCCCUCUCUUGGAAGGGCAGGAUUCAGGCAGCAGCAAUGGCAACACGAGCAUCAAUAUCACGGACAUCUCAAGGAACAUCACUUCCAUACACAUAGAGAACUGGAAGAACUUGCAGACGCUGAAUGCGGUUGACAUGGAGCUGUACACGGGACUCCAGAGGCUGACAAUCAGGAACUCAGGACUACGAAACAUCCAGCCGCGCGCCUUUGCCAAGAACCCUCACCUGCGCUACAUAGACCUCUCUGGGAACCGGCUCACCACUCUGUCAUGGCAACUCUUCCAGACCCUGCGACUCUUUGAACUGAGACUAGAGAGGAAUCUUUUUAACUGCAGCUGCGACAUCCGCUGGAUCCAGCUCUGGCAGGAGAAGGGUGAGGCAAACCUGCAGUACCAAGAGCUCUACUGCAUGAACAUGGACGCAGCCAUCAUCCCUUUGCAGGAGAUGAACAUCACCCAGUGCGACCUCCCCGAGAUCAGCGUGAGCCACGUGAACCUGACGGUGAGGGAAGGAGAGAACGCUGUCAUCACCUGCAACGGCUCAGGGUCACCACUGCCCGAUGUCGACUGGACAGUGGCCGAUCUCCACUCCAUCAACACACACCAGACCAACCUCAAUUGGACCAAUGUUCACGCCAUCAAUUUGACCUUGGUGAAUGUCACCAGUGAGGACAAUGGGUUCCUGCUUACCUGCAUUGCCGAGAACGUGGUGGGGAUGAGCAAUGCCAGUGUGCUGCUCACCGUCUACUAUCCCCCUCGCAUCCUAACCCUGGAGGAGCCAGUGCUACACCUGGAGCACUGCAUUGCAUUUGCAGUGCACGGCAACCCAGCUCCCACCCUUCACUGGCUUCACAACGGCCAGGUUCUCCGGGAGACAGAGAUCAUCCACAUGGAGUUUUACCAACAAGGGGAAGUGUCUGAGGGUUGCUUGCUCUUCAACAAACCCACCCACUACAACAAUGGCAACUACACAAUUGUGGCUACCAACCAGCUGGGCUCAGCCAACCAAACCAUCAAAGGACACUUCCUUGAAAAGCCCUUUCCAGAGAGUACGGAUAACUUUGUCUCAAUCGGUGAUUAUGAAGUGAGUCCCACCCCACCAAUCACUGUGACCCACAAACCGGAGGAGGACACUUUUGGGGUUUCCAUAGCGGUUGGGUUGGCAGCUUUUGCUUGUGUCCUCUUGGUCGUCCUCUUUAUCAUGAUCAACAAGUAUGGCCGGCGGUCCAAGUUUGGGAUGAAAGGUCCUGUGGCAGUGAUCAGCGGAGAGGAGGAUUCAGCCAGUCCCCUCCACCACAUCAACCAUGGCAUCACGACGCCCUCGUCCCUGGAUGCUGGCCCGGACACGGUGGUGAUCGGCAUGACCCGCAUUCCUGUCAUCGAGAAUCCCCAGUACUUCCGACAAGGUCACAACUGCCACAAGCCAGACACGUGUUUCAGAGAAAUUAUGUUGAAUCCAAUAAGCCUCCCUGGACAUUCCAAACCUCUUAACCAAGGCAUUUAUGUUGAGGAUGUCAGUGUUUAUUUCAGCAAAGGACGUCAUGGCUUUUAAAAACUCCUUAAAAGUCCCUGUUCUGAUGUCAAGUUUAUAGGCUGUGCCCUCAAAAUGGUGGGAAGCAGUAAGCGUGGUCUGUAUGGAUUGAGGUCUCCUCCUAAUAGGACUCUACAGCCCUGCCUGUACACACGUUAAAGCCAACUGAAACUGUGGUUUUCUGUCACCAGAUAACAGGGUUGUUCUUUUCCUCCAAUGGUCGCUGUGUUCGUUAAAUAUUCCUGCAAGGCACAACAGCAGCAAUGAGAGCAAAUAAAGAGAAAUAAAACCCAAUUGAAAGGAGUCAUCCUAAUAACAGAGUAAAUAAUUGUACUUUUGCUUUAAAAUAAAACACAAAACAAAACCAACCAAGCCAACCAAACUGACAUCUUUAGUCAUGUCCUCCCUGCUUGGAGUUUUCCUUGUAAGCUUGUGUCUUCGCAACACCCAGUGAAUGCCACCAUCACCUCUUACGUGGCGCCGCCAUGGGAGGUCUCCCAGAGCGAGCCGAGGCGGGGAGCCUGGAAGAAACUAAAGCAGAACGAAGACUUUUGGUAAGAACAAAGGCAGCCCCGCUCCCAGUUCUUGCACAGAAAAUAAUGUUGGAAGGAAUAAUAAUGGAAAGAAAAAAAUAUCUUACUUCUCUGACAGGAAGAGAAUGUGGUUAUCUUUGAAGUGCACAUAUUCUAGGAGGCUUUUUUUGUUUGUCUGUCUGUCUGUGUGUGUUAGAGCGGCUCGUUGGAUCUGACUAUAUCGUUGUCGUACUCUGGUCUCUCCCUGCUGCUUGAAUGAUGAGCUUUAUCUGAGGAGUUGCCUGGACUUCCCGCGUGGAUGGAGAAUCCAUAGCGCAGGAGGGUCCGUGUCCUUGCCAGGGCUAGGGCAGUAAGCAAAGUGGAAAAACAUAUCAGGCGCACGCAGGUCCCUGUUGCUGGACCUUUUCCAGCCCCCUUUAGCUCUCCCCUGUAUUCCCACCCAACUAGAGAUUGAUUGUAACCCAGUCACGUACCCAGAAACAUCAGUUCGAGGCAGACUGACUGAAGGGGAGGAAAAAUAAGUAUUCUGUUGCUGCUUCUCUGGCAUAAACAAGAAUAUCGAUCCUAUUCUCUGGCCGAUAUUCGUAUUCUCUCCCCCUCUCCCAUCCCACUUUUGUCUUACUUCAUCCAAAGCCUCUCAGAUGGAAAAGCAAACCCUUUGAUACUGUCCUCAAGAGAAGCCAGCUGCCCUCGCGGCUACUUGCAGGGCUUUCCUUGGACUGUCCGAAUGUCACGUGUAUGAGAAAUACAGACCAGUGAUAGCCUGUAAGCAAGGCAGAUUUUCUCUAGAGAAAAAAAAAAAAAAGAAAACAAACACCUUCCAAGAGCUUCAGGUGGGGCCAGAUCCUUUUCUGAGAGGAGUAUUGAACCAGGAGCUUGCUCACCAGCCACUCAGCCACUUUUUCUUGCCUUCUUGGUGGCACGAGAUGACCUUAUCACAUCAGGGAUGUCUCUAAAUCACCAGCCCUCAAGGGCUGCUGCCACUGGAAAGAGUCACAGUUCCCCUUCGCCAGAACUGGGCAGAAGCCUCAGAAUGGGAUGUUCUGCUUCAGCCUUUACGGGUGACCUGCAUGAACCACCCUGGAGAUUGCCAGGAGGUUUUAUUAUCAGCUUUCCCAUAGAGAUGUCCCUAGGAAUAUUCCAUUCUCUUGCUUCUUCUCCUGGUUCGCUCGCAUUAAAAGGUAAAGUGCAAUAGAAGAGUACAGGAGAAAUGGUAGCAGAUUGCUUUAAGUUAAUGGACAUGCCUUAGAGGGGCACCUGCGUUAGGACGAGGAGGUCUGGAUCAGGUUGGAUGGCUUCAGAAACCAUGACCAAAACUCUCAACAAUGUUUCCUGCCUGCAUCGGAGCUGGAAAUGCAAGAGGUGCACCACCAGAGAGGACCCAUGGCCAUGUGUUAUUGACACCUCAAUUCUGCAGAUUCACAGAGUGAGGAGGAGCUUCACCAAGCGUGUGAAUCACUGGGUGCUUGUCUGAACUGAUUUUCCCAAUCUCCUGGAAGUCGCCCACCUGACCUGGGGAUGUCUUGUCCGUCUGAACUGUCUCCUCUCCCUAGCACUGUUCAGGGGACUCUGCUCUCAACUGUGUGUAUCAGUCGUAGAGAUACAUCCGUGGGCCUGGACCAGAAGCCUAUAUCCAAACACCCUAGCAGAGGAAGGGUUGAAUUUUACAGCUCAGGUCCAUCUCUGCUUAGAAGAAAUCCUCUGGACCGUACAGCAUAAUUUAAAGCAGUUCUCCCCACUGUGAUCGAUGUCUCAAUUUGUUUAACACCAAUUAAAGUCUCUGGUUCCUCACUGCUGAAAACGAAAGCCAGUCAUGGCCGUUUGCGAUUGGUGGCUUUAAGUAGCAAGUCUUAAGGAUGAUUUUUUUUUUAAAUUUUAUUUUAUUUUUAAUUAUUGUAAAUCAUUACCUCAUUUUCUGUCAAUGAGACUCCUCCAUCUUUGAGCAUUCUUAUCUUGCCAUAACUAUCAUCCUGUGCUAAUGGGAAAUGGGACGGUCCCUUUUCACAGAGACUAUAGGGGUGUUCAAUGUCUAGUUUCUUAAUAAACACUUUAUUUUCUAACGAAA
Molecule: RNA transcript, 4738 nt
Organism: Calidris pugnax (ruff)
Lineage: Eukaryota; Metazoa; Chordata; Aves; Charadriiformes; Scolopacidae
Gene: NTRK3
Gene name: neurotrophic tyrosine kinase, receptor, type 3
Exons: 14
Source: RefSeq, a predicted model, not a curated record